Molecule: transfer RNA, 86 nt
Filed under: Clostridiales bacterium
Lineage: Bacteria; Bacillati; Bacillota; Clostridia; Eubacteriales
Also listed under: 1 other name
Description: tRNA-Ser
Rfam family: tRNA
About the family: Transfer RNA (tRNA) molecules are approximately 80 nucleotides in length. Their secondary structure includes four short double-helical elements and three loops (D, anti-codon, and T loops). Further hydrogen bonds mediate the characteristic L-shaped molecular structure. tRNAs have two regions of fundamental functional importance: the anti-codon, which is responsible for specific mRNA codon recognition, and the 3' end, to which the tRNAs corresponding amino acid is attached (by aminoacyl-tRNA synthetases). tRNAs cope with the degeneracy of the genetic code in two manners: having more than one tRNA (with a specific anti-codon) for a particular amino acid; and 'wobble' base-pairing, i.e. permitting non-standard base-pairing at the 3rd anti-codon position.
Source: RNAcentral
GGAGAUGUAUCGAAGUGGUCGUAACGAGGCUGACUCGAAAUCAGUUGACGGGCAACCGUCCGGGGGUUCGAAUCCCUCCAUCUCCG